UUGGUUAGUGUGCAUGAGGUAUCCUAUAUUCAGUUCCUGGCAGUGGCAAAACAGGAAAAACAAAAAACAAACUUUUUUUGAAGACAGUCACUAUGUUGCUGAGGCUGGCCUCAAACUCAAGAGAAUUGCUGUUCCUGCCUCCCCAUGUGCUGGGAUUAAAGGUGUGCACCACCAUUCCUAGCUUAUGUUUUUCCCAGGAAGGCUGAACAGUUUUCAGUAUUGUCCUAUUAAUUACAUCAGUAGAACUUUGAAGAAACAGAAUCCUGGUUAAUGGUGAUUCCUGGCUAUUAGAAUCAUAUACCAAGUCUUUUUCCCCCUUGGGUGUUUAUUUUUGUCAGAUUGGCAGUGUCCUAGCAGGUCUUCUAAGGAAUACCAGCCCUUUUUUGUUUUCAGUUUAGGGAACAACUAAUAUUGAAUAUGAAGGUCAGCCUUGGCCUUCUGAGUAGCUACUGUAGGAAGGUAAUGCCCCUUCAGAGCUGAUAACAUUUUAAGUGAUGUCCUUUCCUCUCCAGAUUUGCAUCCCUGGUUGCCGUCUACAUCAUGGGGGGUUUCUUAUACCAGCGACUGGUGGUGGGAGCCAAGGGAAUGGAGCAGUUUCCCCAUUUGGCCUUCUGGCAGGACCUUGGCAACCUCGUAGCUGAUGGUUGUGACUUUGUGUGCCGCUCCAAACCCCGCAACGUGCCUGCUGCCUAUCGUGGAGUUGGGGAUGACCAGCUGGGGGAAGAGUCGGAAGAAAGGGAUGAUCAUUUGCUACCAAUGUGAUUGCACUUUUAAUGUCCAGCCACCUCUUCAGUCCCCAAACCAAAGCAUACACAGCCAGAUUUCUCAAGCCGUCUCUUCGCAUCUCUCGCCUUGCCAUUAAAAUUCUUGCCUUCCAGUGGGCUUUUGAUUUGACCCUAAA
Long non-coding RNA from Alexandromys fortis (reed vole), 901 nucleotides. RefSeq lists it as uncharacterized. The record is from RefSeq and is a predicted model, not a curated record. The transcript is spliced from 2 exons. Lineage: Eukaryota; Metazoa; Chordata; Mammalia; Rodentia; Cricetidae.